GAAAUGCGAUAAGUAAUGUGAAUUGCAGAAUUCAGUGAAUCAUCGAAUCUUUGAACGCACCUUGCGCUCCUUGGUAUUCCUUGGAGCAUGCCUGUUUGAGUAUCAUGAAAUCUUCAAAGUAAAUCUUUUGUUAACUCAAUUGGUUUCUACUUUGGUAUUGGAGGUCUUUGCAGCUUCACACCUGCUCCUCUUUGUUCAUUAGCUGGAUCUCAGUGUUAUGCUUGGUUCCACUCGGCGUGAUAAGUUAUCUAUCGCUGAGGACACUGUAAAAGGUGGCCAAGGUAAAUGCAGAUGAACCGCUUCUAAUAGUCCAUUGACUUGGACAAUACUUUUAUGAUCUGAUCUCAAAUCAGGUAGGACUACCCGCUGAACAUAAGC
This 378-nucleotide unclassified non-coding RNA is filed under the name plant metagenome. Its description in RNAcentral is "partial contains 5.8S ribosomal RNA, internal transcribed spacer 2, and large subunit ribosomal RNA". The stretch from base 1 to 105 matches the Rfam family "5.8S ribosomal RNA", at positions 50 to 154 of the family's 154-position model. The record is from RNAcentral.